UGCUUCUUGGGGAACUGCUUACAUUGCUCU
RNAcentral lists this non-coding RNA (30 nucleotides) under Rattus norvegicus (Norway rat). Lineage: Eukaryota; Metazoa; Chordata; Mammalia; Rodentia; Muridae. The record is from RNAcentral.